RNAcentral lists this ribosomal RNA (810 nucleotides) under uncultured bacterium. Its description in RNAcentral is "bacterial SSU rRNA". It matches the Rfam family "Bacterial small subunit ribosomal RNA", at positions 8 to 796 of the family's 1533-position model. The record is from RNAcentral.
AGAGUUUGAUCCUGGCUCAGAAUCAACGCUGGCGGCGUGCCUCAGACAUGCAAGUCGAACGAGAAAGUCCCCUUCGGGGGAUAAGUAAAGUGGCGUCCGGGUGAGUAACACGUAGGUAAUCUACCUUCGGGUGGGGAAUAACCCAGGGAAACUUGGGCUAACACCGCAUAAUGCAGCGGCACCACAUGGUGACAGUUGUUAAAGCGGGGGAUUUUAGGACCUCGCGCCUGAAGAGGAGCCUGCGGCGGAUUAGCUAGUUGGUAGGGUAACGGCUUACCAAGGCGACGAUCCGUAGCCGGCCUGAGAGGGCGGUCGGCCACACUGACACUGACAUACGGGUCAGACUCCUACGGGAGGCAGCAGUCGGGAAUUUUGGGCAAUGGGCGAAAGCCUGACCCAGCAACGCCGCGUGAAGGAUGAAAUCCCUCGGGAUGUAAACUUCGCAAGAAUGGGAAGAAUUAGCGAGCGCUAAUACCGCUCGUGAUGACGGUACCAUUUGUAAGCUCCGGCUAACUCCGUGCCAGCAGCCGCGGUAAUACGGGGGGAGCAAGCGUUGUUCGGAUUUACUGGGCGUAAAGGGCGCGUAGGCGGCCAGCGCAAGUCAGUUGUGAAAUCUCCGGGCUUAACUCGGAAAGGUCAACUGAUACUGCGCGGCUAGAGUGCGGAAGGGGCAACUGGAAUUCUCGGUGUAGCGGUGAAAUGCGUAGAUAUCGAGAGGAACACCUGCGGCGAAGGCGGGUUGCUGGGCCGACACUGACGCUGAUGCGCGAAAGCCAGGGGAGCGAACGGGAUUAGAUACCCCGGUAGUCC